CCAGACGGCUGGACGGUCGCCUUUACCCUUGGGACAUUGUCUUAGGACAUUGUCCUUGGGUGGGGGAGGAAAGUCCGGGCUCCAUGAAAAAACGGUGCCGGGUAACGCCCGGCGGGGGCGACCCCAGGGAAAGUGCCACAGAAAGUAAACCGCCUGUCUUUCGAGCCAGUCUCGUACGAUAGGUAAGGGUGAAAGGGUGCGGUAAGAGCGCACCGCGCGGCUGGUAACAGUCGUGGCAAGGUAAAC
Molecule: RNase P RNA, 246 nt
Filed under: Rhodospirillaceae bacterium
Lineage: Bacteria; Pseudomonadati; Pseudomonadota; Alphaproteobacteria; Rhodospirillales; Rhodospirillaceae
Description: partial RNase P RNA component class A
Rfam family: Bacterial RNase P class A
About the family: Ribonuclease P (RNase P) is a ubiquitous endoribonuclease, found in archaea, bacteria and eukarya as well as chloroplasts and mitochondria. Its best characterised activity is the generation of mature 5'-ends of tRNAs by cleaving the 5'-leader elements of precursor-tRNAs.
Source: RNAcentral